GAUGAACGCUAGCGGCAGGCCUAAUACAUGCAAGUCGAGGGGCAGCACGGUAGCAAUACUGGUGGCGACCGGCGCACGGGUGCGUAACACGUAUGCAACCUGCCUUCAACUGGGAGAUAGCCCGGGGAAACUCGGAUUAAUACCCCAUAACACAGUGAAACAGCAUUGUUUAUUGUUAAAGCUCCGGCGGUUGAAGAUGGGCAUGCGUUCGAUUAGCUAGUUGGUGUAGGUAAUGGCUCACCAAGGCUACGAUCGAUAGGGGGUCUGAGAGGAUGAUCCCCCACACUGGUACUGAGAUACGGACCAGACUCCUACGGGAGCAGCAGUAGGGAAUAUUGGUCAAUGGACGCAAGUCUGAACCAGCCAUGCCGCGUGCAGGAAGACGGCCUCUGGGUUGUAACUGCUUUGAUAGGGAACAAACGGUGAGUUCUAAUAAGCUUGCUAAUGACG
Molecule: ribosomal RNA, 450 nt
Filed under: uncultured bacterium
Lineage: Bacteria
Description: bacterial SSU rRNA
Rfam family: Bacterial small subunit ribosomal RNA
Source: RNAcentral